ACCAUUUAAAGACUGUCCAGCUAACACCUAGAGCUGAGCUCCCAUCGGGCAGAAUGAGGCCGAACGGGGUGAUCAUGGAUCCCGGGUUUCCUCUUUCCGGAGAUGCAGGCUGCGCGCUGACGUCAUCAGGCUCCAGGUGCUUGUUAACAGGCCGAGGUAGCGAACCUUGACAGAAACUCCUGAUGAAACAACUUCUGUCGGCUGAAAAUGGGAUUUUUAAUCAGCUGGUCUGUUUGACACCAGUCGAACUGCUGAUACGGGAUUUAUAAUUUAUAAUAGUUGACCCUCUUAAAUAAUUGUGGUGCUAACUAGAGCCAGUCCAUUUUACUGGAAUUGAUACUGGAAAAUAACACAAAAUGUAUUUGCAGUUAAUAAAAUGAAUGCUCAUUUUUUUUAA
Molecule: long non-coding RNA, 397 nt
Organism: Paramormyrops kingsleyae
Lineage: Eukaryota; Metazoa; Chordata; Actinopteri; Osteoglossiformes; Mormyridae
Source: RefSeq, a predicted model, not a curated record